UCNCACAGGUGUUUAGCUUGUCUCCUCUGC
This 30-nucleotide non-coding RNA is filed under the name Mus musculus (house mouse). The record is from RNAcentral. Lineage: Eukaryota; Metazoa; Chordata; Mammalia; Rodentia; Muridae.